AAGCGGGGAAGGAAAAAAAAAGGGGGGGUUGGGGGACGGGAGGUCGUUUGGAACCCAUUUUUCUGCGACAAAUGCUAACCUUGGAAUGGAAUGCGGAAUUGACUGCCGGAAAAAAUGGACCUGCGUUUGCGUCGGCUAGGCCGUUUAACUAAUAUGCACUAUGCUACUAUGUAUGUACUACUAUGUAUGUAUUUGGAGUGGAUCCUUCUGAUUUUCCGCGCCUCUAAAUGCGGAAUGUCUAGAUCAUGGUAGUUGAUCAAAAAUGAUGACAGAUGAGGAGAGGAAUUGAGGGAGUCGUAAAUCGGCGCAAGGCUGCCAAAUUCUUCUAUUACUACCAUCGUUAAUGAGCAUGGAUGGCAGCGUCAUGGGAAAUGACAGAAAAAACAUGGACGAUUAUUUGAUGUGACUUGAUGAGAUUUGAGCCAUUUGAUAUUCGAUGUUGAGCACCUUCCGCCAAGCACACACUAGGUCUAAAUAGAACUAGCACGAAUAGAAGC
Molecule: small RNA, 497 nt
Filed under: Histoplasma capsulatum G186AR
Lineage: Eukaryota; Fungi; Ascomycota; Eurotiomycetes; Onygenales; Ajellomycetaceae
Description: hypothetical RNA
Source: RNAcentral